UACUCUUUGCCAAUCGCUCUAAUUC
Molecule: unclassified non-coding RNA, 25 nt
Filed under: Mus musculus (house mouse)
Lineage: Eukaryota; Metazoa; Chordata; Mammalia; Rodentia; Muridae
Description: oocyte_clustered_small_RNA4380
Source: RNAcentral